GGCCCCGUCAUCUAGCUGGCCUAGGAUACCGGCCUUUCAAGCCGGCGGCGCGGGUUCGAAUCCCGUCGGGGCUACCA
Molecule: transfer RNA, 77 nt
Filed under: Euzebya pacifica
Lineage: Bacteria; Bacillati; Actinomycetota; Nitriliruptoria; Euzebyales; Euzebyaceae
Description: Euzebya sp. DY32-46 tRNA-Glu
Rfam family: tRNA
About the family: Transfer RNA (tRNA) molecules are approximately 80 nucleotides in length.
Source: RNAcentral